RNAcentral lists this ribosomal RNA (433 nucleotides) under uncultured bacterium. RNAcentral describes it as "partial 16S ribosomal RNA". It matches the Rfam family "Bacterial small subunit ribosomal RNA", at positions 29 to 507 of the family's 1533-position model. The record is from RNAcentral.
AACGAACGCUGGCGGCAGGCCUAAUACAUGCAAGUCGAACGCUGCAUUCGGGGUGAGCGGCAGACGGGUGAGUAACGCGUGGGAAUCUACCCGUCGCUACGGGGUCGCGUCGGGAAAGUGGAAUUAAUGACGUAUACGCUCUGAGGGCGAAAGAUUUAUCGGGGAAGGAUGAGUGCGCGUUGGGUUCGCUAGUUGGUGGGGUAAAGGGCUCUCAAGGCGACGCGCCAGAGCUGGUCGAAGGGGAUGAUCAGCCACAUUGGGACUGAGACACGGCCCAAACUCCCGCGGAUGGCCGCAGGUGGGACUAUUGGACACUGGGCGCAAGCCUGAGCCAGCCAUGCCGCGUAAGUCAUGAAGGCCCUAGGAUUGUAAAGCUCUUUCAAUAGGGACGAUAAUGACGGUACCCACAGAAAAAGCCCCGGCUAACUUCGUG